Molecule: ribosomal RNA, 254 nt
Filed under: uncultured bacterium
Lineage: Bacteria
Description: partial 16S ribosomal RNA
Rfam family: Bacterial small subunit ribosomal RNA
Source: RNAcentral
UACGUAGGGUGCGAGCGUUGUCCGGAAUUAUUGGGCGUAAAGAGCUCGUAGGCGGUGUGUCACGUCGGCCGUGAAAACCUGCAGCUUAACUGUGGGCGUGCGGUCGAUACGGGCAUCACUGGAGUUCGGCAGGGGAGACUGGAAUUCCUGGUGUAGCGGUGAAAUGCGCAGAUAUCAGGAGGAACACCGGUGGCGAAGGCGGGUCUCUGGGCCGAUACUGACGCUGAGACGCGAAAGCGUGGGGAGCAAACAGG